GGUGACUCAUUCAGUAAAGUGCCUGCCUUAUAAGCAUGAGGACCUGAGUUCAAUCCUCAGGACCA
This 65-nucleotide transfer RNA is filed under the name Mesocricetus auratus (golden hamster). It matches the Rfam family "tRNA". Rfam says of the family: Transfer RNA (tRNA) molecules are approximately 80 nucleotides in length. Their secondary structure includes four short double-helical elements and three loops (D, anti-codon, and T loops). Lineage: Eukaryota; Metazoa; Chordata; Mammalia; Rodentia; Cricetidae. The record is from Rfam by way of RNAcentral.